This is a long non-coding RNA of Capsella rubella, 1196 nucleotides long. RefSeq lists it as uncharacterized. Lineage: Eukaryota; Viridiplantae; Streptophyta; Magnoliopsida; Brassicales; Brassicaceae. The record is from RefSeq and is a predicted model, not a curated record. The transcript has 2 exons.
CUCUCGAGGAGUUGCCCUAGCCGCCGCUCAUCACCUCAACAGUUCAAGAUUUUUGAUCGCCCUCUCCGAUUAGCGGCGCUCUUCGCCGUGAUUGUGAGAGGGCCCUUGCUGCUCUUCCUUUCUUUGCUGUAGUUGUUUAUGUUUCAGUUAGUUCAGUGUUGCGAUGAGAAGAGAGUUUGCUCAGCAAAGUAGAUGUUCUUCAUGGUGAGGCUUGUUCGACGAUCUCUGUGUCGUUCUCCCUCCUCCGGUGGUUUUGCAACUGGAAGUUCUGCUGUUGUUAGAUCCAGCUUUGGUUGGGUCUCGUAGGUGGAUUUUUCUGGAUUUGUAGCCUUGGAUUCUUGUGGUGCUGCUCUGAUUUUGUUGCCUUCGAUUGGGAAUUUUGGUUUGUUUCGAGUUCUGAUUAUGUGUGUUGGAGGUAACGGUUGGAGCGGCCAUUUCAUUUGGGUCCUGUGAAUUCAGAAGUAGGACUUUGGCCCUUGCAUUUGUUGUCGCUCAUGUUCUUUCCAUAGUUUCUAUGCCGUUAGUGUUGUGUGGCUGUUGGAUUUGUUAGUUUCUCUCAGCCUUCGCCUCUCCUCUCACCUUGUCUCCUCGUCUCAGCCUUUGUGUUCGAUCUUUCUCUAAGCAGAAGAUUCGUUUUGUUUGACUGUAACGGUAGUCUCCCAAGUAUGUCGAGUUAUCUUCUUCUUGCUGUUGUUCGAUGUGGGAGAUAGCUCUCGUAUUUUUCGUCGUUCUCUUUGAGAUUGACGAUUCUUGAGAUGUUAGGCCUCGCUCCUUGUCCCUGCGUUCGAGAUUUGUUGAGAUCUGUUCGCGUUUGGUGGCUUCUAGUUCGACGUUCCUUGACGUACCAACGUCGUCGUCGCUUCCGAAAGCUAUGUGCUUGUCGGGUUUUGAAGUCUUUGGUUUCGAGAGAUUGGCUCUCUUUGUGAUGGGAGGUGGUUGUUGUUAUCUUCGGUUUGGCCGCGGGCAUCCUUGGUUAAUCUCUCUCACUUGUCUCAGAAGAAGAAGUGCUUUGUGCUCUUGGUUCUAUUGUUUAUCUUAAGGUUUUUGUGGCCGGUUUCUUAUGUUCUUAGCUUAAGGUUUUGAUUCCUUUCGUUUAGGUUGCAAAUUUUCUGUUUUGUAUCUUUUUAUCUUUAGACUCCCUUUCAUAGGGCUUAAUGACUCUGGGGACAUAUUUAUCGUCCGCCGGCUUAUGUUUC